This 2514-nucleotide long non-coding RNA is filed under the name Pectinophora gossypiella (pink bollworm). RNAcentral's name for it is "uncharacterized LOC126376351". The record is from RNAcentral. Lineage: Eukaryota; Metazoa; Arthropoda; Insecta; Lepidoptera; Gelechiidae.
GUACGUUUCGCAGGUUUACUAAGCUUUGAUGUAUUCUGGGCCGGUUGCUCAUGCCUGCUAGAGCGCUGUAUAGAGGCGUACAGAUACAUCGAGGCUGUUCGAACCCUAUACUUGGUACAUAAAUAGAGAUUUUUUUUUUGUCUAGACCAGUUCGUAAACUUCUAACAGUAACUGUUCCACAUCGUGUACUUAGUAUCGCCACAGACAUCAUCUACGUUCUAACACUAGAGACCAAAUGAACGAUAAUCGCCGUGAGAACUUGUAGAGUCCUCUUCGAUCAAACAGUAUUAUUCUGAAGAGAAACUACGAUACUAAAACUUCGUCAUACGUUUUCAUUAUACAGUAACAUGUUUAUGUCGCAUUGAUAAGUGUAGUCCUUACCGAUACAAACGACAGCAUAAGCUUGUAGGUAUAGAAUAGGGAUCCAAGUUUUGCUGUCUUGCUAUAAACAAGAAAGCGCAACUAGUUUAUAAAGUGAAGGUUCUGAACAUCAAUAAAGUUUUUCAAAGAAAUAAGCAUGUGGAUAAGACAUUUUUGUAAGAUAUGAUUACGAUAUUUCCUCCUUGUCUAGCUGAGAUGUGGAGAAUUAAAAUUUGAAUUGGAAUGCGGAACAGUAUAGUAACCAUGAAUGGCUUCCAGAAAGGAUGGCGGGGCACUACAGUGCCCCAGAUAUAAGGUGACAAUUAUAAAAUGUGGUUCAAAUUAUAACGAAUAUUUGUUAGGAAAACACAAUGCAGCAGGCUCUCGAAAUUGAUAGUGUGUUGGAAGUAAGAAUUCUCGCCCGUGUGUGGAUUUUGUGCGAAUUUUAUUAUGUACAAAUAAUUGGAUAUGAGGAAUAUAAUUCUAUAUUGAUCCCUGCUUGGCCUUUAAGAAAAAAGUUGCGUCUUAUUGGUCAAAUAAUAAGGGCAACCGUGCUCAGAAUUGACACUGGGAAAAAAAUUGUUGACAUGGUUGAUAACUGCGAUCGAUAAGAAAGACUAUUCAUAUUUUAAUUUCCUUUAAUAUAGUAAAUAAACUUCAGUGCUUCGAAGAGAACGUCAAACACCGAUGUUUCAAAAUAGCUGCAGAUCCCUAAUAAUUAUUGUAAUGCAGCGUUCAUUUUUUGCUGACCAGUAAGGUGUUUGUGUCUGUGUACAGUUUACAAAAUAAUUCCAUGAAGUUUACCUACUUAUUUUAAAUAGAUACACAUAUUCGAUCGUCACUAAGCUAGUUAAACAUAUUAUUAUUGGUAUAAAAGGUACAUUCAUGACGUUGCGUACCUUACUGCACCUUACUACCUUAUUGAUUAGAUGAUUCUAUGCUUCGAAAGGCACGUUUAACUGUUGGUGCCGGCCUCUAGGCGGAAGACCACCUCCACAAACCCGUUAUUUAAGGUGUACCCAACAGUAGUGGGACGUAAAUAGGAUGUUUAUAUUAUGUAUUGUAUGGAUAACGUCAUUUUUUAUUAGAUCUAUACAAAUAAAAUAUUUUGUGAACUGUACUGGGUUUCCGUCAGCGGCGGCGGUCUUAUUGAACUGAUGCGCUUCAAGUUACUUAUCGAUAAAUGAUUUCGAAAUGAAAUAUAAUAUUUUUGUUUUUCACACUUUGCGAAAAUUGCUGUGUAAGUACAGAAAUAACAAACAUUUUACAUGAGCAUAAAAAAUAGUUUUUACAAGGUUUGGAAUAGACGUACAUUACUUAACGUAAAUAAAAAUACUAAGAUAUUUAAAGGUACCUCAUUGAGGUUUUAGAAAAAUGUUGUCAACUCCUGAUGACUGUUGUGCAACUUGCUACCAUAAAAACCCUAAACUUAUGUGUAAGUUACCAUAAUUAUUUUUCGACGUGAUUGAAUCGCUCGCGAGUGCUAAGUGGUACGUGCCCCAUCUUCGACGCCCCAUCACCACCCCGCUGCUGCUGUCCACGAAUUAGUGACAGUGCAGAGUCGCCCUGCUGUUUCCCGCUCCAUCCUACCGCCGCGCCGUCUGAGCUGAUUUUUUUGUUUGAUACAUGAGGAUUCGAGCAACACAAAUAAUGUUCGUAAGUUUUCAUUUAAUUUUCGGAUCAGAUUCUCUCUUGAUAACUUGAUGAUAAUGACAGACGCCAAUUUGAAGUUAUUGUUUUUUUUACCUAGAUCACAAUAAAUCCUACUAGCAUCGCUUGUUUUCGUACCAAUCCGGGUCGGAAUGGAUCUAGUGACUAUUAAGCUAUUUUGUGACUUCUAGAGACAUUUUAAGAUCCAUUCAUUUUUAAACAUUAUUUACUUAUUGUUAUUUCAGGUCGGACUCUGAAUAUUAUUCUAAAACAUCCAACAAAUCCGCCGGUCGAGGAUUUGUUGACUCGGAGGACGAGAUAGCUUUUAGCAGAAAUAAAUCAAGAUCUAUCGGUUCGAGAAACUCCGCCGCAAAGCGUGCGGAUUCGGACGUAGAGAUACCAAGGCAGAAGAAAAAGGAAAGCAAGCUCAGUUCAUCUGCCAAGCGCACAGCAGUGGAAUCUGACGGAGAGACACCGAGGGCUAAGAAAAAGCUGGUUCCAAAG